UGUAAGAACCAGGUCAAGCUCCUGGAGAUAAAACUCACAAAAUUGUGGGGACCUGCUGAUGACUGGGUCCCCCUGGAGUUUUUAACUCUCAGGCUUCUGCACACUGAGCCUCCAGCAAUUUGUCAAUUACAGUUCAGGUUUUCAUAUCCCAGCACCGGUUCUCAUGAAGGUUUCUGCUCCAGAGGUGAUGGGAACUCAUAAAACCUUCAACAACUGCCAUCUCCCUGGGUCCUGUGGAGCUGUUUGUGAAACUUAAGUUGCUGAAAUAGAAACUACCCUUCCUCCAUCCCGAAUCAUUAAGGACAUCCUAUCUACUACAGUGCUGUGCCACACCCUUGCUACAGGAGUGAUUACGUGACCCAGGCAGGGCCGAUCCUAAUAUCUCACUCCUCUGAACACAGUGAUUGGUUCAGGGGUAAGUAAUAAUUAUAAACAGAGCCAAUAAGAAUCAUUGCCUGGAGCUGAUAUACUGGUUUGAGAAGUAGGCAGUUUUUUUAGCUAGGAUGGGAUUGCUAAACUAUGACACAUAGUCUGAGAUCAUGGAUAACUAUCUUCCCUCAUCAACUGGGGAGCCUGAAGCAGUAGGAGAGGAGAAGACUAAAACAAAGAAGGAAGUAGAGCUGGAAAAGGAAGAGGCAGAAAAAAGGGAGGGUGUGGUGCGGGGAAAACACCACAUUCCCCGGGAAUUUUGUUGUGUUUGAAGCCAGAACCGACCCUGAGCUUCCUGUUAUGUGAACCAAUCCAUUUUCUUUCUGCUUUGGCUCAUGUGAGCUGGGUUAUUGUCACUUGCAAUUGAAAU
This is a long non-coding RNA of Balaenoptera ricei (Rice's whale), 799 nucleotides long. RefSeq lists it as uncharacterized. NCBI's taxonomy places the organism in Eukaryota, Metazoa, Chordata, Mammalia, Artiodactyla, Balaenopteridae. The transcript has 4 exons. The record is from RefSeq and is a predicted model, not a curated record.